AGCGCAACUGCUGGAUUGUAUGGUAAGAGUGCGUUUGCUUUUGUAAGGAACUGGGAGGCUGUCUUCCAAAGUGGUGGUACCAUUUUGCAUUCCCACCAGCGAU
RNAcentral lists this microRNA precursor (103 nucleotides) under Marmota monax (woodchuck). Lineage: Eukaryota; Metazoa; Chordata; Mammalia; Rodentia; Sciuridae. The record is from RNAcentral.